This is a long non-coding RNA of Gallus gallus (chicken), 1561 nucleotides long. Lineage: Eukaryota; Metazoa; Chordata; Aves; Galliformes; Phasianidae. The record is from Ensembl.
UUUUUUUUGCUGGAGAUCUCUCCGAUGUGGAGUCUUUCUACAAGCCUAGAUCUUCAGAGACAGAUUGCAGAUUGUGUGCAUGCUAACUGUACAGUUAGUAAUGUGAAAUGGUCAGACAGAUCUUUUUUCUGAGCUACGAUGUGGACCAAAGAAGAAAAGACAAGAAUAGAGGUUCAUUAGUAUAAUAUUAUUAUUUCAUCAGCUAUAGCAGGUGUGACAAAGACUUUGUUCACUGUUACAAGAAUCAACCACUACAGGAGAGGUUUUGAUGGCACAUCACUCUUGUGCAAUGUUGGUAAAUUUGAGAUCUUCAGGGCUCCUUUUAUACAGGACUGUAGAAAUCAGAAAGAUCAACAAAAUGGAAAAGUGAUACAAACGAUGUAACAACAAAGGGACUAAUGCAAUAGAAAGGUAAGGAAAGGAAAAAAGGACUGCUCACCUGUCACCGAAGAUCUAGGCUCACAGGGGAAAACUCCACAAAAGGGAUCUCCAGAAAGGAAUCCUUCCAAAGUGGCAGUCAGCCCUUAAAUGAGGUCUUAACUUGCCUUCACCUGUGCUCCCAGGACUGACCAAGUCCUUUCCCCAGGCGCUCUAUCAGUGGUUCAGGCCGCGAUUCAACAAUUACUAUACAGGGACACUUGCCAGUUAACCUGCCUUUCUAUAGUAUCAAAGACCUUUUUUUCCCCCAUUUUUGCCAUCACGCUUAGUUACAAGACUGAAGUCAGGAACUGCCACAGGUAUUCUAUUUGUGGCUAAUUUAAGGCUUUGGAUAACCAUGUAUCUCAAAGAUAUAUGGUUGUAAUAUAUAAUUACAACUAAACUAUGUACAUCACUCAAAGAAAGUUAGUUAUCCAAUGAAUUAGAUACAUAUAUAUUUUAUAAAUGCCUACAUAUAUAUUUGCAUAUAUUUAACUAAUAAAUAUGUCUCUGCAUGUCAGAAUUGUAUAUCUCUGAGGGAACAGAUUUGUGUAUGCGUCUAUUUGUUGGUGGGCUACUGAAGUCAUUGCCAAGUUCUCAAAGUCACUGUAACAACAGAGUUAACCUUGUGAUUCAUUUAUUUGGUACUCCAAGCAUGUAGAUAUUGCUCUGAGAGACAUCUUUUAAAACGUAUUUUAAAAAGCAUAUAGUUAUGACCCACUUGUGUAACAGCGUUUCUUCUUUGCUAUUCAGAGUGGUUUAGAAGUGCUUUGGACUCCCUGGUCACUUCAUUAUCUGAAGUCUAAUAUCUUGCAGGCACCUUUUCUGGUAUGAAAUAUGUCCACUGAAAGAGUAGAUUAGAUAGAGUGAAAGGUUAUUUCAAGAUUAUGAAGUUUGAGUCCAAGUCUAGCAAAGAAGAAAUGUUAUUCAUUGCUUAGGGUUUUAAAUCAAGCCAUUUUCCUCCACAAAUUUCUUAGACAGAAAGAUACUGUAUUAUCUCACUUUCCUUAGGAUUAAAUGUUGACUCUUGAGAAAUCAGCUUCUAUUUGUUUAUUUAUCUACCUGUGAUUUUCAACUGAGCACACAAGCCAUUAAGAUGACAGCUAUUUUUAUAUUUACAAAUUGGAAUAAAUUAACAAUAAAC